GUGGAUAAGAAUAUUUCGGUUAGUAAUUUUGAACAGUAGAAAAUUCAUUACAAUAUAUAUGGGGUUGAAUAAUAUAACUUCUAAUAGGAGUAUUAACAUUAACAUGGUUACAUGAAGUUUGAAUAAAUUAAAAUAUUUUAAAACACUUUGGAAUAAAAUUUUAAAAUUAAUUCUUAAAGUUAAGUAUUGAAUUUUUUUUAAUCCGGUAUUGUUUAAGAGCAACUGGAAUAUUAUCAUGAAAUUGAAUAAAUUGAAAAUUUUAUAACAAUUUGAACUAAUAAUUUAAAUUUAAUAUUUAAAGCUAACUAAUAAAAAGUCAAAUUUAAUUUGGGAAAUAGCCUAAUAACAGUUCCGGUCCAAAAUUCGUACGGAAUAUAUCUCAAUAAAAUAAAGAAUUAUAUAUUAUUAGAGCAUACCUAUAGUAGAUAUUUCACAAAGUGUCUAAGUAUUAUAAUAUAAGAACAAAAAAAUGGUGAGAAAAUGAGAGAUUGUUUUCCAUUGAGAACUUCUCAUAACCUCUUUUUGCCACUUGCUAGUUUUUAAUAGGUUUAUUUUUUCUUUUACU
Molecule: long non-coding RNA, 565 nt
Filed under: Brassica rapa (field mustard)
Lineage: Eukaryota; Viridiplantae; Streptophyta; Magnoliopsida; Brassicales; Brassicaceae
Description: long non-coding RNA (BRAP_LNC007557)
Source: RNAcentral